GACGAACGCUGGCGGCGUGCUUAACACAUGCAAGUCGAACGGAAAGGCCCUGCUUGCAGGGUACUCGAGUGGCGAACGGGUGAGUAACACGUGGGUGAUCUGCCCUGCACUUCGGGAUAAGCUUGGGAAACUGGGUCUAAUACCGGAUAGGAUCCAUCUUUAGUGUGGUGGUUGGAAAGUUUUUUCGGUGUAGGAUGAGCUCGCGGCCUAUCAGCUUGUUGGUGGGGUAAUGGCCUACCAAGGCGGCGACGGGUAGCCGGCCUGAGAGGGUGUACGGCCACAUUGGGAAUGAGAUACGGCCCAGACUCCUACGGGAGGCAGAAGUGGGGAAUAUUGCACAAUGGGCGCAAGCCUGAUGCAGCGACGCCGCGUGGGGGAUGAAGGACUUCGGGUUGUAAACUCCUUUCGCUAGGGACGAAGCUUUUUGUGACGGUACAUAGAUAAGAAGCACCGGCUAACUACGUG
RNAcentral lists this ribosomal RNA (465 nucleotides) under uncultured bacterium. RNAcentral's name for it is "partial 16S ribosomal RNA". It matches the Rfam family "Bacterial small subunit ribosomal RNA", at positions 28 to 507 of the family's 1533-position model. The record is from RNAcentral.